This 389-nucleotide small RNA is filed under the name Histoplasma capsulatum var. duboisii H88. RNAcentral's name for it is "Histoplasma capsulatum H88 hypothetical RNA". The record is from RNAcentral. Lineage: Eukaryota; Fungi; Ascomycota; Eurotiomycetes; Onygenales; Ajellomycetaceae.
GGCUGCAAUUGGUCUCGGUUGGGACGAGGUAACAGAAUACCUUCUGCCUGACACUGUUGUGGCCUGCGAAAACUCGCCUGCUUCCGUCACCAUAGCUGGUGAGAGGGCUUCCGUCCAAAGAGUCAUCGAAGCUAUCAAAAAAUCACAUCCCAGUUGCCUGGCAAGGAUGCUCAAGGUCGGGGUUCCUUAUCAUUCACCCCAUAUGAAUCAUGCCGGAGAAGAAUAUCACAAGAUGAUACUGAAGAAAAUCGAAAGCAGAAGUCUGCGCAAAUGCUUCAUCUCAAGCGUAACGGGAGCUGCUGAAGGGCAUGCCACUCUCGAUGCCUCCUACUGGGUGCGGAACAUGCUGUCUCCAGUUCGAUUUCGAGGAGCUCUUGAGCAUUUACUAC